RNAcentral lists this long non-coding RNA (466 nucleotides) under Helianthus annuus (common sunflower). Its description in RNAcentral is "hypothetical non coding rna". The record is from RNAcentral. Lineage: Eukaryota; Viridiplantae; Streptophyta; Magnoliopsida; Asterales; Asteraceae.
UACCCAUUCGUUCUCUCCCUACCCUCCAGAGCAGGUUACCCACCAGGCCGCCACCACCACCACUACCGUCGCCCUUCCAUCCGCUGAUGAUGAACACUGAUUGGCAUCGCCCGUCACUACCGAUCGUCUUCCAUCUGCUGCUGCUGAUCAUCGUUGAUUAAAGCGGCCGGCUGAUUCGAAACCAGGUUAGGUUAUGAACAGAUUACUGAAGAUUGUUUUGAGGGUUUACAAGUUUAAGGAGUGUCAACCUUCCUACCUUCCAUUGGAACUAUUAAUGUAACAUAAGCAACCUUCUGGAUUCAAGGAUAACAAAGGAGAUGACUUUCAAAUUGAUGGUAAAAGAGAUACCAUUUUGCUUUUACAAUUGGCUUCAAUUUUAAGAUAUUUUUUAAUUUUUAAUUUGUAACACACGCCUUUGUAAAUAAAAUUAUUUUUGCAAUAUACGUCUCCCCCUACUGUAUCACGU